UCCUGGGUGUUCCAUACAAAGCCUGUGCCCUCAGGAGUACUCACACCCCAGUGACAUACCUGGCAAGGUGAACCAGGACCAGGCUGAGUCUCAGGCACUGAUGGGAGUGGGCAACAUGAAAGGCAGGAUUCAUCACCACAACGGGCCAAGGCUCUACUAAGGAGGGAUGACAGUUACCUUGGCCCUCUCCCACACAGCACCCUGACUGACCUGGGUCAUGCAAGUAUUGCAUAACAAUGCUGCCCCAAGUGAACAGUUGAGGUGAGGAUGGGUUGAGGGCUGGAGGAACAGGACUCUCAUGCUGGCCAAUUCUGUACUUUUGUUUUUAGAUGUGGAACAAAUCCUCCUAUCAUAUCUAAUGCUAAAUUUGAAUGCAGGCACUUUUAGAGUCUCUCCACAAGGCUCACGUAUUGAAAACUUGGUCUUCAGCCGGUGGCGCUAAUGAGAGGUGAUUGACUCACAAGGGCACUGACUCCAUCCACGUGUGUUUCCACCCAUGAAUUCAUAGCUUAAUGCCCUAUAGGAGGUGGGCCCUCAUUAGAGGAAGUCACUGUGGUCACACUCUUAAAGGCUGCAUCUUAGCGUCUUGUCUCCUGACAUGCUCCCUGUUCUCUCUCUCUGACACAUGCUCCCUGUCAUGCUCCACCUCAACACACUCGGGCCCCAAAGCAUGGAGCCAAUGACAGUAACCUCCAAAGAGAUCAGACAAAACAAAUGCUUCUCCCUUUAAGUUUAGUCCAGAUAUUUUGCCACAGCGAUGAAAGGUCAACUAACACACAGGAAGUGGGUAGGGUGUGAAGGUGGAGCCCUCUUGAACAGGAGGCCCUAGAGUAAAGAGUCCAUCCUUCCCACCGUCUGGACCAGAAGCUCCAGGCCAUCUCCAGAUCCUUCUCACUGUCUGGACCAGAAGCUGCAGGCCAUCACCAGAUCCUUCUCACCAUCUGGACCAGAAGCUGCAGGCCAUCACCAGAUCCUUCUCACCAUCUGGACCAGAAGCUGCAGGCCAUCUCCAGAUCCUUCCCACCAUCUGGACCAGAAGCUGCAGGCCAUGACCAGAUGCUUGUUCUGUACAAGACCAGGAUGCCAAACCUGCAGAGGACCUCUGGAGGCAGAAAUGGAGUGAGAAGAUGCCGUCAGAGGAGCAUCUCUGGGCACAUUCAGGCUUUGGAACCGGAGCCUGACUGAGGGAUUGCUCAUCCAGCCCAGGGCAGUUUGUGCUUUCUGUCCCCCAUGAUAUUCCUGGAGCUGCCAGAGUGAGAAAACAACCCUGGGUGACCAGGUGAGAGAAUGGAAACUUCCAGCAUUUCCAAAAUAUUAAAGGUGGCAAAUGUGGUUCACCAACAUGACUCUUCGUGCCUCAGACAUUCUUUGCCUGUCACUGUGAAUAUGAAAUGAUAUGGAAGACAGCAGGCUUAUGGGAAGUGGGGAAGAGAACCUGGAUUGAGUGAGAAACUACCACUGUGUUAGUAUUUCUGGGGCUGCCAUUUGACUCAGGCAUUUGUGGAUUUGAACAUUCUCACAGAGGAUCCUGGGUGCUGAAGAGAAGUCCUCUAUAUCCCUGGAGAGUAUUGCUGUCUUCCACCAUGUGUCAAGUAUCCUAAGGAUGCUUCUAGAAGAGCAAGUAAGGAAUCAGGUCACCAUGUUACCGAUCAGAUGGUUUCCAACUCAAGUACUGAACUAGAUGGGGCAAAGCAUGUACCACAUUGACCCCAAACUCAUUCCUAAAUGCAGGGACAUGCAUUGGGGCCUAAUCACAGGCCUGGAGAAGGAAGAACAGUUUUAUUUGUGACAGCAACAAACUUCCUUAAGCUUUCAGGAAGCAGCAGGUGGUUGUAUUCCAAGGGCUGACUGUGGGUUUCAUUCCUUCUGAAAGAUUUUACAGAGUCUGCACUUGUCAUUCUGAUUUGGCUCCUGUUUUCCUGUGGAGAGAAAAAUGGCACUCUGUUGUUGAGACCAAGUUGUCAUGAUUUCUGAACUACAUUGGUUAAGAAAAGCAAUGGGUUUUGCAGGUCUGUGCUGGACGCUGAGAUAACUGUGGUUACCACAGACAACAACAGAAGGAAGAAGAACAAGGGAAACAAGAAGAUUGCUGUCUGUCCUCUUCUGAGUGGACUCCUGAGGGCUCAGUGCUGGCUUUGACCUCCUUGAGAAGUGGUGUUUCUACACGGUUGAGUCUACCGGCACCCAUAGGAAUCUUUUCGUGUUUUAGGGAAAAAAGAAACACAUCCUAGAAAGCACAGCAUAUGGUUUCUAUGUCUUUUUCUUUUCCCUCAAGGCAUCAUUAGACAAAUGCUUCACCUCAUAAUAUAAUAUUAUAUUUGAGCUUGACAUGAAUCAUGAUCAUAAUGAAGACAGUAACCGCUAAAGAACACUUACGCUGCCUCAGGAAUGGAGUUCCAUACUUGUAAAUCAUUUCAAUUAAUCUUCUAGAUUUUGCUUAGAAAAUUGGGACUCAUAAAGAUUCAUCUCUCUCUCUCUCUGUGUCUUUUAAAAUGAGGUCUCAUGUAGUUCAGGCUAACCCAGAACUACAUGUAGCUGGAGUAGCCCUGAAUUUCUAAUAAACCUUUGGAGUAAUAAACCUGGGAUUAAAGGCCCGCACCACCAUGCGUAUUUAUGCCAUGCUGGGGGAUGGAACCAGCCUUCCUGUAUGCUAGGCAAACACUGCCAAUGAGCUAUGUCCUGUAGCCCUUAAGGAUUUUUCUAAGAUCACAUACACAGCACACACAUUUGAACUGCACAGUUUUAAUUUUUGACUUUUUUUUCUUGUCGUUCUGGUGCAGGGGGUGAGCUCAGGACUGCCCACAGGUGCUGAGUACACACUUUAAUCCUGAGACACACCUCUGCUCUCCAGUGUCUCUUUGACUGUAACUCCAUGAUAGUCUGCACCCCUGCCUCUAAAACAGCAGUGACAUACAAAGAGAAGGGGAUGCGGGAGGCAGCGGGGUGGAAGCUGGCCCCUGCUCAGUCCCUCUUGUACCUCAGACCCUUUACACAUGCGCCUUCACACUUGCGUUUGUAAACUUAACAACUGAGCUGGUGUUUGACACCAAAUGCACCUUCUUUCACGUGUUUCUCCUUUCCCCUCAAAUGGAUCUCUGUCUGAUUAUGUGAGUUUUAAAAAUAAAUUAAUGCUAAAGUUAUAUUCAUACAACCUAGUCUUGAAACUAUCAAACAACAAAUUUGAAAAUCAAAGCUUUUAAAUAUGAUGAUAUAGUUAUGUGUUGCUAUAUAGAAAAUUACCUCAAAGUGUAGUGGCUUAAAAUAGAAAAUUAUUUCAUUAUUUCAUUAUUAUUGCCAUGAUUUCAUUGGUAGAAAAUUCAGGUAGAAUCAUUUGCUUUCCAGAAAAGUCAAAUAUCCCAAUGUAUGCACGUGUGUCUGGGUAUGUGUGCACCCACGCACAUGGGUGGGUAUAACAGCAUGCAUGCAGAGGUCAGGCAACAGCUUAUGAAACCCAGUUAUCUCCUUCUGUCACAUAUGUUCCAAAGACUGAACUCAGGUAAUAGGCAGCAAGUGUCUUUAUCCAUUAAACAGGUUCACUGACACUGAA
This is a long non-coding RNA of Mesocricetus auratus (golden hamster), 3547 nucleotides long. RefSeq lists it as uncharacterized. The record is from RefSeq and is a predicted model, not a curated record. The transcript is spliced from 3 exons. NCBI's taxonomy places the organism in Eukaryota, Metazoa, Chordata, Mammalia, Rodentia, Cricetidae.